This 292-nucleotide small RNA is filed under the name Mycobacterium talmoniae. Its description in RNAcentral is "5' ureB small RNA". It matches the Rfam family "5' ureB small RNA". Lineage: Bacteria; Bacillati; Actinomycetota; Actinomycetes; Mycobacteriales; Mycobacteriaceae. The record is from Rfam by way of RNAcentral.
CGGGCAGGAUCUGCGGGCAGAUCAGGUGCACAUGGCAGUCGAUGGCGCCGGCGGUGACGAUCCGCCCCUCCCCGCUGAGGAUUUCGGUGGACGGCCCGACCACCAGCUCCGGAUGCACCCCGGCCAUCGUGUCGGGGUUGCCGGCCUUGCCCAGCGCGACGAUGCGGCCGUCACGGAUGCCGAUGUCGGCCUUGAUGAUUCCCCAGUAGUCGAUGAUGACCGCACCGGUGAUGACGGUGUCGGGCGCCCCCUGGGCCCGGGUGGCCCGGGCCUGGCCCAUCGACUCCCGCAG